AGAGUUUGAUCCUGGCUCAGGAUGAACGCUAGCGGCAGGCCUAACACAUGCAAGUCGAACGGUANCAGGAAAUAGCUUGCUAUUUUGCUGACNAGUGGCGCACGGGUGCGUAACGCGUAUACUACCUAUCUUUUACAGNGGGAUAGCCUUUGGAAACGAAGAAUAAUACCCCAUGGUAAGUGUCCAUGGNAUCAUGGAAACUUUAAAGAUUCGUCGGUAAAAGAUGGGUAUGCGUCCUAUUANCUAGAUGGUGUGGUAACGNCACACCAUGGCAACGAUAGGUAGGGGCCCUGAGAGGGGGACCCCCCACACUGGUACUGAGACACGGACCAGACUCCUACGGGAGGCANCANUGAGGAAUAUUGGACAAUGNGCGAGAGCCUGAUCCAGCCAUGCCGCGUGCAGGAANACUGCCCUAUGGGUUGUAAACUGCUUUUAUACGGGAAGAAACCCGCCCACNUGUGGGCGGCUGACGGUACCGUAAGAAUAAGGAUCGGCUAACUCCGUGCCAGCANNCGCGGUAAUACNGAGGAUCCGAGCGUUAUCCGGAAUCAUUGGGNUUAAAGGGUCCGUAUGUGGACGAUUAAGUCAGAGGUGAAAUCCUGCAGCUCACUGUAGAAUUGCCUUUGAUACUGGUCGUCNUUGAAUUAUUGUGAAGUGGUUAGAAUAUGUAGUGUAGCGGUGAAAUGCAUAGNAUNUUACAU
RNAcentral lists this ribosomal RNA (704 nucleotides) under uncultured Bacteroidota bacterium. Its description in RNAcentral is "uncultured Bacteroidetes bacterium partial 16S ribosomal RNA". It matches the Rfam family "Bacterial small subunit ribosomal RNA", at positions 8 to 702 of the family's 1533-position model. The record is from RNAcentral. Lineage: Bacteria; Pseudomonadati; Bacteroidota.